UCAGUCGGCCGGACGGCCGCUCCCGCAAGGAUCGAAAGAUCGCGGGGGAGGAAAGUCCGGGCUCCAUCGACAUACGGUGCCGGAUAACAUCCGGCGGGGGCGACCCCAGGGAAAGUGCCACAGAGAACGAACCGCCUUCAUCUCGAUGAGGGCAAGGGUGAAAAGGUGCGGUAAGAGCGCACCGCGUCGCUAGCAAUAGGGACGGCAUGGCAAACCCCACCGGGAGCAAAACCGAAUAGGGACGGCAGCGCGAAAAGUUCGCUCUCGGGCGAUAACUUCGCAGGGCGAUGUCAGGCCCGCUGUCCGGGUAGGUUGCUUGAGGCGCAAGGCGACUUGCGUCCCAGAAGAAUGGCCGUCACGCCUUGCCGGCUCACGCCGGUCCGGCCCUCCAGAACCCGGCUUACAGGCUGGCUGACACU
This 419-nucleotide RNase P RNA is filed under the name Hyphomicrobiales bacterium. RNAcentral describes it as "Rhizobiales bacterium (bioreactor metagenome) RNase P RNA component class A". It matches the Rfam family "Bacterial RNase P class A". Rfam says of the family: Ribonuclease P (RNase P) is a ubiquitous endoribonuclease, found in archaea, bacteria and eukarya as well as chloroplasts and mitochondria. Its best characterised activity is the generation of mature 5'-ends of tRNAs by cleaving the 5'-leader elements of precursor-tRNAs. Lineage: Bacteria; Pseudomonadati; Pseudomonadota; Alphaproteobacteria; Hyphomicrobiales. The record is from RNAcentral.